UGGGGAAUUUUGGACAAUGGGCGAAAGCCUGAUCCAGCAAUGCCGCGUGUAUGAAGAAGGCCUUCGGGUUGUAAAGCACUUUUGUCCGGAAAGAAAUCCUUGGCUCUAAUACAGUCGGGGGAUGACGGUACCGGAAGAAUAAGCACCGGCUAACUACGUGCCAGCAGCCGCGAUAAUACGUAGGGUGCAAGCGUUAAUCGGAAUUACUGGGCGUAAAGCGUGCGCAGGCGGUUUGCUAAGACCGAUGUGAAAUCCCCGGGCUCAACCUGGGAACUGCAUUGGUGACUGGCAGGCUAGAGUAUGGCAGAGGGGGGUAGAAUUCCACGUGUAGCAGUGAAAUGCGUAGAGAUGUGGAGGAAUACCGAUGGCGAAGGCAGCCCCCCUGGGCCAAUACUGACGCUCAUGCACGAAAGCGUGGGGAGCAAACAGGAUUAGAUACCCUGGUAGUCCACGCCCCUAAACGAUGUCAACUAGUUGUUGGGGAUUCAUUUCCUUAGUAACGUAGCUAACGCGUGAAGUUGACCGCCUGGGGGAGUACGGUCGCAAGAUUAAAACUCAAAGGAAUUGACGGGGU
Molecule: ribosomal RNA, 574 nt
Filed under: uncultured bacterium
Lineage: Bacteria
Description: partial 16S ribosomal RNA
Rfam family: Bacterial small subunit ribosomal RNA
Source: RNAcentral